Molecule: non-coding RNA, 46 nt
Filed under: Schistosoma haematobium
Lineage: Eukaryota; Metazoa; Platyhelminthes; Trematoda; Strigeidida; Schistosomatidae
Also listed under: 1 other name
Source: RNAcentral
CCACUGCUGAGGAGUCCCACACUAGGACGAAACGGCCGUUCAGUGC